UCACGGGGUGCUUUUGCCAGAAGACAAUCUGGCGUAAGGCUGAGAAUAUACCCAUUGAACCUGAUGCAGGUAAUGCUGCCGCAGGGAUGAUGUUUA
This 96-nucleotide non-coding RNA is filed under the name human gut metagenome. RNAcentral's name for it is "TPP riboswitch (THI element)". It matches the Rfam family "TPP riboswitch aptamer (THI element)", at positions 8 to 91 of the family's 105-position model. Rfam says of the family: Vitamin B(1) in its active form thiamin pyrophosphate (TPP) is an essential coenzyme that is synthesised by coupling of pyrimidine and thiazole moieties in bacteria. The previously detected thiamin-regulatory element, thi box was extended, resulting in a new, highly conserved RNA secondary structure, the THI element, which is widely distributed in eubacteria and also occurs in some archaea. The record is from RNAcentral.